RNAcentral lists this ribosomal RNA (253 nucleotides) under uncultured bacterium. Its description in RNAcentral is "partial 16S ribosomal RNA". It matches the Rfam family "Bacterial small subunit ribosomal RNA", at positions 524 to 776 of the family's 1533-position model. The record is from RNAcentral.
UACGUAGGGGGCUAGCGUUGUCCGGAAUCAUUGGGCGUAAAGAGCGUGUAGGCGGCCCGGUAAGUCCGCUGUAAAAGUCAAAGGCUUAACCUUUGAAUGUCAGUGGAUACUGCCGGGCUAGAGUCCGGAAGAGGCGAGUGGAACUCCUGGUGUAGCGGUGGAAUGCGCAGAUAUCAGGAAGAACACCAACGGCGAAGGCAGCUCGCUAGGACGGUACUGACGCUGAGACGCGAAAGCGUGGGGAGCGAACAGG